This 470-nucleotide ribosomal RNA is filed under the name Plesiopuntius bimaculatus (redside barb). Its description in RNAcentral is "partial large subunit ribosomal RNA". It matches the Rfam family "Bacterial large subunit ribosomal RNA", at positions 2081 to 2640 of the family's 2925-position model. The record is from RNAcentral. Lineage: Eukaryota; Metazoa; Chordata; Actinopteri; Cypriniformes; Cyprinidae.
AAUACGAGACGAGAAGACCCUUUGGAGCUUUAGGUACUAGGCUUACUUACGUCAAAUAAUCUAAUCAAGGCGCAAAACUUAGUAAAACAUAAGACUUUACCUUCGGUUGGGGCGACCAUGGAGGAAAAAAUAGCCUCCGAGUGGAUUGGACACAUCCCAAAAACCAAGAGAAACAUCUCCACGUCACAGAACAUCUGACCAAUUAUGAUCCGGUUACAAAACCGAUCAACGGACCAAGUUACCCUAGGGGAUAACAGCGCAAUCCUCUCCCAGAGUCCAUAUCGACGAGGGGGUUUACGACCUCGAUGUUGGAUCAGGACAUCCUAAUGGGAGCUGCCGCUAUUAAGGGGGUCGUUUGCUCCACGAUUAAUAGUCCUACGGGGUCUGAGUUCAGAACAGAGAAGGGGGAUGUUUUUCAAAAACAUAUCCGUGUUCUGAUUUCAGACCGGAACCGCCUGUUUGUCAAAAAA